UCCUGCGGGCUUGUGUAUUUGCCCCGCUGUGGUAGUGUCAGGUUCUGCGUCAUUGACGCCAGAAGCAUUUCGCAAACCCCGCCCUUGGGCGGGGUUUUGCUUUAUC
Molecule: non-coding RNA, 106 nt
Organism: Pseudomonas entomophila
Lineage: Bacteria; Pseudomonadati; Pseudomonadota; Gammaproteobacteria; Pseudomonadales; Pseudomonadaceae
Source: Rfam